UACUCCGCCGGCGACCGGCGCACGGGUGCGUAACGCGUAUGCAACCUACCUUUAACAGGGGCAUAACACUGAGAAAUUGGUACUAAUUCCCCAUAACAUUCGAGAAGGCAUCUUCUUGGGUUAAAAACUCCGGUGGUUAAAGAUGGGCAUGCGUUGUAUUAGCUAGUUGGUGAGGUAACGGCUCACCAAGGCAACGAUACAUAGGGGGACUGAGAGGUUAACCCCCCACAUUGGAACUGAGACACGGCCAA
This 251-nucleotide ribosomal RNA is filed under the name uncultured bacterium. Its description in RNAcentral is "partial 16S ribosomal RNA". It matches the Rfam family "Bacterial small subunit ribosomal RNA", at positions 81 to 334 of the family's 1533-position model. The record is from RNAcentral.